Molecule: ribosomal RNA, 253 nt
Filed under: uncultured bacterium
Lineage: Bacteria
Description: partial 16S ribosomal RNA
Rfam family: Bacterial small subunit ribosomal RNA
Source: RNAcentral
UACGGAGGGUGCAAGCGUUAAUCGGAAUUACUGGGCGUAAAGCGCACGCAGGCGGUUUUAUAAGUUAGAUGUGAAAGCCCCCGGCUCAACCUGGGAAUUGCGUUUGAAACUGUGCAGCUAGAGUAUUGGAGAGGGGGGUAGAAUUCCAGGUGUAGCGGUGAAAUGCGUAGAUAUCUGGAGGAAUACCGGUGGCGAAGGCGGCAUCCUGGACCAUAACUGACGCUGAGGCGCGAAAGCUAGGGGAGCAAACGGG